AUACCUACGAGGGGCAGCAGUGAGGAAUAUUGGUCAAUGGGCUUACGCCUGAACCAGCCAAGUCGCGUGAGGGAAGACUGCCCUAUGGGUUGUAAACCUCUUUUGUCAGGGAGCAACGCCGGCUACGUGUAGCCGGACUGAGAGUACCUGAAGAAAAAGCAUCGGCUAACUCCGUGCCAGCAGCCGCGGUAAUACGUAGGUGGCGAGCGUUAUCCGGAAUGAUUGGGCGUAAAGGGUGCGUAGGCGGUCGAUUAAGUCUGGAGUGAAAGGUACCGGCUCAACCGGUAUAGGCUCCGGAAACUGAU
RNAcentral lists this ribosomal RNA (305 nucleotides) under uncultured bacterium. RNAcentral's name for it is "bacterial SSU rRNA". It matches the Rfam family "Bacterial small subunit ribosomal RNA", at positions 335 to 637 of the family's 1533-position model. The record is from RNAcentral.